CACGUAGUUAGCCGGCGCUUCUUUACCCACUACCCUCACCACAACCCAAAGCUGCGGCUUGACCAUGAGCGAAAGAGGUUCACAACCCGAAGGCCUACAUCCCUCACGCGGCGUCGCUGCAUCAGACUUGCGUCCAUUGUGCAAAAAUUCCCCACUGCUGCCUCCCGUAGGAGUCUGGGCCGUAUCUCAGUCCCAAUGUGACCGGUCACCCUCUCAGGCCGGUUACCGUCAAAGCCUUGGUAGGCCACUACCCCACCAACAAGCUGAUAGGCCGCGAGCCCAUCCCCCACCAAAAACACCCAAAAGCAUCUCUUUCCACACACCCCCAUGCGAAGACAUGUGAAUAUUCAGUAUUAGCAGCCCUUUCAGACCGUUAUCCCCAAAGAAGAGGGCAGGUUACUCACGUGUUACUCACCCGUUCGCCACUAAUCAACGGUGCACGCACCGCAUCAUCGUUCGACUUGCAUGUGUUAAGCACGCCGCCAGCUUGUCUAGCCAGGAUA
This 503-nucleotide ribosomal RNA is filed under the name uncultured Actinomyces sp. RNAcentral describes it as "partial 16S ribosomal RNA". The record is from RNAcentral. Lineage: Bacteria; Bacillati; Actinomycetota; Actinomycetes; Actinomycetales; Actinomycetaceae.